UAGAACGAGACCAAGUAAGCCCAUCCGGGUCGAAAGCCGUGUCAAGUGGAAUGGAAGGAGCGGUUAUCCUUCGGCCAUGUGCCGUAAAUAAGAUCCGGGACGAGAGCGGGCGGACGCUUCUUGCAUGGUACGAGGUCGCGCGAAAUCCUCGUAUUUCAUGCCCGUAUCCUACGUGGCUACAGUAACGCGCCAAGUCAUGCCCGGUGACCAAAAUUAUCGACUACAGA
Molecule: non-coding RNA, 227 nt
Filed under: unclassified sequences
Description: RT-2 RNA
Rfam family: RT-2 RNA
About the family: Coriobacteriales (Actinobacteria), Clostridiales (Firmicutes). Downstream gene
Source: Rfam by way of RNAcentral